CAAAGCUAUGAACCAGAUAAACAUCUCCAUUUUAUGCUAGUAGCUCCUAACUAAUCUUAUUAAAACCUUUCCAGACCCAGAUCAAUAUCUGAAAUGCACUCUGUUCUGUAAUUAAUCUGAUGAGACAUGCUAUCUAUGUUUACAGGUCCCUUCACAUUUUUCUUUAGAGUUUUUUAUUUUCAAAUUAAACUGGUUAAGGAGGUGCAGGGUUAUGAUCUUUGUUUCUGAGUAGCUUUUUCAUGGACUUAUUAAAUAUCCUGUACUGAGUGCGCUCAGUAAUUCAAUGAUCCUGCCCUGGUGAAUGCAGUUGGAUACCAGUGUCUAAGAGACCGUGCACAGAGUCUGCUUCAGCUCUUCAGGACACGGGCUAUCUUUGAGGACAAUCUUCUGACACCUGAUUCUUGGAAUAAAGGACUAUCUGACUGCAACACCAUUGAUUAGCGAUGGACUAAGCUCGCCCAGCAGUGUGAACAAAUUGCCUGGAAAUGUCGUCAUCAGGCUUCAACUGGCACUAUCUCCCUUUCUGUCUGGGUCAUUGAUUUCCUCAUCUCCUUUGCCUUAAAACUCACAUCAUACAUCAAUUUCUGAAUCUCCAGCACUGAAGCAGCUGCACUGUGCCUUUCCUGCUCAACACCAGCAGCUUUCAGCCUCUGAAGUGUCCUUUACUGAUGCUCAUCUGAAGACCUCCUGAGUGUGCCUCAAGUGGCCUCCCUGCCUGCUACAUAACAGCCUGUGCUCUGCCAGCUUUUGUUUCAUCACAAGAGGGCUUAGAGCUGUUCUGCUCUCGGAAAUUGGGUAAAAUUUGGUCUCCUUCCUACAAUGACUCAGUGUGCUGGAGAAAUGACUCCUGCCUUGUGCGAGCAGCUAUGGCAGGGCACCGAGCUGUGCCAGCCUCUGCUAGCCACCAGCUACCCUCAGGAGAGCCCCUCAGCCAGCAAGGAGCUGGGGCUGCUCUGCACACGGGUCUUAUGAUUGCUAAAUGUAGAGUCCAUUGAUAAAUAAAGCAAAUGCACAAAGUGUGCAAGAACCAGCAGUUGUUACAGUGUCAUCUUAGCUAACACAGCCUUUUCCUCUGUUCUUUUGCUUUCC
Molecule: long non-coding RNA, 1089 nt
Organism: Gallus gallus (chicken)
Lineage: Eukaryota; Metazoa; Chordata; Aves; Galliformes; Phasianidae
Source: Ensembl